GAAACCUCAUCUUGCUCGCCGCCAUCCGGGCGCCAGAAGCAGUGCUUCCCCCGAGGGAAGACACAGGCACUCCGCCUGGAUGAGGAGAGAGG
This 92-nucleotide non-coding RNA is filed under the name unclassified sequences. The record is from Rfam.